This 274-nucleotide ribosomal RNA is filed under the name uncultured bacterium. Its description in RNAcentral is "partial 16S ribosomal RNA". It matches the Rfam family "Bacterial small subunit ribosomal RNA", at positions 523 to 796 of the family's 1533-position model. The record is from RNAcentral.
AUACGGAGGGUGCAAGCGUUACUCGGAAUCACUGGGCGUAAAGCGCGCGCAGGCGGGCUGAUAAGUUGGAUGUGGAAGCCUACGGCUCAACCGUAGAACUGCAUCCAAAACUGUCAGUCUAGAGUGUGGGAGAGGAAGAUGGAAUUAGUUGUGUAGGGGUAAAAUCCGUAGAGAUAACUAGGAAUACCAAAAGCGAAGGCAAUCUUCUGGAACACUACUGACGCUGAGGCGCGAAGGCGUGGGGAGCAAACAGGAUUAGAAACCCUAGUAGUCC